This 253-nucleotide ribosomal RNA is filed under the name uncultured bacterium. Its description in RNAcentral is "partial 16S ribosomal RNA". It matches the Rfam family "Bacterial small subunit ribosomal RNA", at positions 524 to 776 of the family's 1533-position model. The record is from RNAcentral.
GACAUAGGUGGCGAACGUUAUCCGGAAUUAUUGGGCGUAAAGAGCUCGUAGGCGGUCUGUCGCGUCGGCUGUGAAAUCCCGAGGCUCAACCUCGGGUCUGCAGUCGAUACGGGCAAACUGGAGUGUUGCAGGGGAGACUGGAAUUCCUGGUGUAGCGGUGAAAUGCGCAGAUAUCAGGAGGAACACCGGUGGCGAAGGCGGGUCUCUGGGCAACAACUGACGCUGAGGAGCGAAAGCGUGGGGAGCGAACAGG